This 139-nucleotide ribosomal RNA is filed under the name uncultured eukaryote. RNAcentral describes it as "partial 18S ribosomal RNA". It matches the Rfam family "Eukaryotic small subunit ribosomal RNA", at positions 1299 to 1458 of the family's 1831-position model. The record is from RNAcentral.
UGGUGGAGUGAUUUGUCUGGUUAAUUCCGAUAACGAACGAGACCUUAACCUGCUAACUAGGGGCGAGAAAGUUUCUUUCUCGACUCACUUCUUAGAGGGACUUUGCGUGUCUAACGCAAGGAAGUUUGAGGCAAUAACA